Molecule: ribosomal RNA, 253 nt
Filed under: uncultured bacterium
Lineage: Bacteria
Description: partial 16S ribosomal RNA
Rfam family: Bacterial small subunit ribosomal RNA
Source: RNAcentral
UACGGGGGGGGCAAGCGUUGUUCGGAAUUACUGGGCGUAAAGGGCUCGUAGGUGGCCAACUAAGUCAGACGUGAAAUCCCUGGGCUCAACCCAGGAACUGCGUCCGAUACUGGUUGGCUUGAAUCCGGGAGAGGGAUGUGGAAUUCCAGGUGUAGCGGUGAAAUGCGUAGAUAUCUGGAGGAACACCGGUGGCGAAGGCGACAUCCUGGACCGGCAUUGACGCUGAGGCGCGAAAGCCAGGGGAGCAAACGGG